Molecule: microRNA, 19 nt
Filed under: Ciona intestinalis (vase tunicate)
Lineage: Eukaryota; Metazoa; Chordata; Ascidiacea; Phlebobranchia; Cionidae
Description: cin-miR-4001b-1-3p
Source: miRBase by way of RNAcentral
UUUUUUGCAAGUUACCACA